GUGCCAGCCGCCGCGGUAAUACGGAGGGAGGGAGCGUUAAUCAGAAUUACUGGGCGUAAAGAGCACGAAGGCGGUUUUUUAAGUCAGAUGUGAAAUACCUAAGCUUAACUUAGGAAUUGCAUUUGAAACUAAAUUUCUUUAGUUUUGUAGAGGGAGGUAGAAUUCUAGGUGUAGCGGUGAAAUGCGUAGAUAUCUAGAGGAAUACCAGUGGCGAAGGCGACCCCCUGGACAAAGACUGACACUCAUGUACGAAAGCGUGGGGAGCAAACAGGAUUAGAUACCCUGGUAGUCCAUGCUGUAAACAAUGUCAAUUUGAAGGUUGUAGCCUUGAGUUAUAGCUUUCGUAGCUAACGCGUUAAAUUGACCGCCUGCGGAGUACGGCCGCAAGGUUAAAACUCAAAUGAAAUUGACGGGGGCCCGCACAAGCGGUGGAAGCUUGUGGUUUAAUUCGAUGCAACGCGAAAAAACCUUACCUAUUCUUGACAUCCAAAAGAAUUAAAACAGAAAAUGUUUUAGUGCCUUAGGGAAACUUUGAAACAGGUGCUGCAUGGGUUGUCGGCCUGAUCGUGUUGAGAAAAGGUUGGGUUAAGUCCCGCAACGGAGCGUAACCCCCUAUUCCUUUGGUUGCAAUUCAAGAAAGGUGGGAAACUCAAAAGUUGACCUGCUGGGUGGAGAAACCGGAAGGAAGUGGUGGGCCCUCGUCAAGUCCUUCCCGGCCCGCUUUCGAGUG
Molecule: ribosomal RNA, 730 nt
Filed under: uncultured bacterium
Lineage: Bacteria
Description: bacterial SSU rRNA
Rfam family: Bacterial small subunit ribosomal RNA
Source: RNAcentral